CGUGGAUUUGCUUGGUUCUGAUUUGCUCUGGACGUCACCAGAUUCAGUUGGAGCAAUGUGUUUUUUCUUACUACUGUCUUCCUGGUUUUUUGUUGCAUUGUCAGUUGAUUGUUUCUUUGAAUCAACCACAAUUUCCUUGACAGCUUCCUCUAGCUUAUCCAGUCUCACUUUCACCUCCAAAAGCUCUGGAUUAGAUCUAGCUUCUUUUUCUUCAAUUGCUUUUAGUUCCAU
RNAcentral lists this unclassified non-coding RNA (231 nucleotides) under Hevea brasiliensis (rubber tree). The record is from RNAcentral. Lineage: Eukaryota; Viridiplantae; Streptophyta; Magnoliopsida; Malpighiales; Euphorbiaceae.